CGAUACGGGACUCAUCCGAGGCCCCGUAAUCGGAAUGAGUACACUUUAAAUCCUUUAAUGAGGAUCCAUUGGAGGGCAAGUCUGGUGCCAGCAGCCGCGGUAAUUCCAGCUCCAAUAGCGUAUAUUAAAGUUGUUGCGGUUAAAAAGCUCGUAGUUGAAUCUGUGUGCCACGCUGUCGGUUCAUCGCUCGCGAUGUUUAACUGACAUGAUUGUGGGACGUCCUACCGGUGGACUUAGUCUUUCGGGACGGUCCAGCUAAUAUCCCAUCGCGGUGCUCUUCAUCGAGUGUCGAGGUGGGCCGGUACGUUUACUUUGAACAAAUUAGAGUGCUCAAAGCAGGCUAUGUUACGCCUGAAUACUGUGUGCAUGGAAUAAUGGAAUAGGACCUCGGUUCUAUUUUGUUGGUUUUCGGAACCCCGAGGUAAUGAUUAAUAGGGACAGAUGGGGGCAUUCGUAUUGCGACGUUAGAGGUGAAAUUCUUGGAUCGUCGCAAGACGGACAGAAGCGAAAGCAUUUGCCAAAAAUGUUUUCAUUAAUCAAGAACGAAAGUUAGAGGUUCGAAGGCGAUCAGAUACCGCCCUAGUUCUAACCAUAAACGAUGCCAGCUAGCGAUCCGCCGAUGUUCCUUUGAUGACUCGGCGGGCAGCUUCCGGGAAACCAAAGCUUUUGGGUUCCGGGGGAAGUAUGGUUGCAAAGCUGAAACUUAAAGGAAUUGACGGAAGGGCACCACCAGGAGUG
RNAcentral lists this ribosomal RNA (738 nucleotides) under Camarothorax sp. Cam_conc_1. RNAcentral describes it as "SSU rRNA". It matches the Rfam family "Eukaryotic small subunit ribosomal RNA", at positions 477 to 1178 of the family's 1831-position model. Lineage: Eukaryota; Metazoa; Arthropoda; Insecta; Hymenoptera; Epichrysomallidae. The record is from RNAcentral.